UUCUUAAAGGGGUAAUGUGUACAAAUACAUAGUUCAAAAAAUUUAAAAAUAUAACUAUAAAAGUAUGUGGCAAAAUCCCAUUCAUAUCCUAUUCUCCCUCCACAGCCAAACACUUUUAAUUGGUUUCUUAUGUAUCAUUUUGGAAUUUAUAUUUGCAAAUACACAUGUAUAUUCUUAUUCUACUCUUCCCUCUCAACACAGAAAGUAGCAGACCAUAUAUAUUAUACCAUUCCUUGUUCCUUUUUAAAAACACACACAAUAUAUCUGAGUUCUUCUACAUGAGUACAUAGGUCUUUCUCAUUCUUCUUUACAACUACACAGUAUUCCAUCGUUUGGAUGUACCACAGUUUAUUUAACCAGUUCCCUGUUGGUGGACACUGAAGUCAUCCUUAUCAUACUAUCACAAACAAUAUUGGCAAGCAUAACCACCUACACACACCAAGUUCAUUUCUGAAUGUGCCUUUGAUGAAGCUUCUAUUUAAAUCUCCACAAGAUCACAAGGCUGAAAAGUUAGCCCCUUUUUCAGUUUUCAUUAUGUACAGCAGUAUGUAGCAAAAGACUCCCUUGAGCAAAGCAAAUGUACUCUUUGAGGAUUUAUUUCAUAAAAUAAAUGGAUAAACAGAACACCCAGCAUAACAAUUUCUAUUUAACAAUGCAUAUGUAUGUAUACAAUACAUGCAUAUGCAUAGAAAGUAUAAAAUAAAUCCGUCAAAGCAUUAAGCAUUGUCUCUGUAUGCUGGACCUAUGGAGUGCUUUGUAGAUUCCCCCUCCUUGUCUAUCAGUUCUAACUUCACAACAGUGAAUAUGUACAAUUUUUGCAAUGUAAAAUUUCAAAAAAUGUUAACUCAAAUUAAGCUGGAUACAUUCUUUCAGUCUGUCCUACAUUUGUAUAGUGCUCCAGUGUGUUCAAAUAUCACUUCAUUUAAAAAUAUUUUUUUUUCAAAUAUAGAGACAGACAGGGUCUUGCUCAGUCGACCAAGUUGGUCUUGAACUCCUAGAUUCUCCUGGAUCCUCCCACCUCCGCCUCCCAAAGUGCUGGUAUUACAAGUGUGAGCCAUCACGCCCAGCCAGCUUCAUUUGAGAAACCUUUCCCAAGCACUCCAUAUAUUACUAAUUAUUCCUUUCUUCAUUUUUAUAUAGGAUUUUCUUCAUAUCUCUAUUACCUCACUUGUCACAUGAUAAUCAGUUACUCACCCAUCAGUCUCCCUUGAUUGCUCGUGGGCUCCUUGAGCAAUGUGCGACCUUGAACAGUGUGUGACACAUACAUGCUUCCUACACAGAGAAGGAAAUGAUUUCGCUACAGUGUCAUCAUUCCCAGAAUUCAAUACCUGUAUUUCUAAAUCAUUCUAGAUACUCUGCCAACAACUUGAGAAUGUUAUGCUCUUUCCCUAAAACUUCCAUCCAUUCCAGCCAUAGUUAACUCAAUUGUGACAUGCUCUCUGGCCAAGCCCAUUUGUAGUUUUUUCUUUAGGUGAUUUUUAAUUUUAAUUUUUGAUUUUGAUUGUUUGCUUUUUGGUAUUUUUUAAUCUAGGAGUGUUUGGUAAACUUCACCAUGUCUAUAUCUCUGUGUCUUUGCACCUGCUGGUCUCUGCUUGGAAUGAUGUCUCAAGGUUUUAUUCACCUGGAAAGAAUUCCUACUCACCCUUAAAGACUCAGCUUAAAUAACCCCUUCUCUGGUAAACCUUUAUAUUCUCCCAUUCUUUCAGUAAGAGUUGAGAAUUCCUCUACUCUUGAAAUGUUUGUGCCUCUAUUACUAUGUAUCAGGCAGUGAACUAAGCGUCUAGGAUAGAAAGAUGAAACUGUAGAACCUGCCCUCAUGGAGCGCAUGGUCUAGUAUGGAAAACAGCCAUAUGAACAAAUAACCACACUAUAAUAUUAAAUACAAUACCAAAAGGGAAAUGUAUUGAAUAUUUGACAUGUGUCAAUUACCUUGUUAGAUACUUUAUUAACAAUUAUCUAUGAUCAUAUUAGAUACGUAUUUGAAUUGGACAGAAGGCCAUGAAACUCUAGGACUGCUAGAGUUUGUUAUGCUCUCAAUUGUCUUCUAAAGAAACUGUCUCCUAAUGGUUCUUUCUGAAUAUGCUUUAGUCAUACAACUAUUGUGCAACUGUAGCAUACACAAAAAGCAUAUCUGUAGCAUACUCAUGUGACCAAUAAUGCAUUAAACCAACCUUACUUCUUUGGCCACAAGUAACUGGACCAAGGCUCAGUGUUUCAGCUAAGGACAACAUAUAGGUUGAACUUCAGGGACAAUCGCCAAGGACAUGGCAUGGCUCAAAAUUCUCUCUAAUAGGGGCCUUCCGUUUUUAGAAGGUGAGAGGCUAAUCCAAUCAGAUAUUCUCUCUUGGAAAAUACAAAUGUUGGGUGAACAAAAGAAAAGAGGGCAGGUUUUCAGAGCUCAAAUCUUAUCCUAAAUACUGCUAAAUUAAUGUUCUGUGAAGUUUUGAAAGUACUAGGGCCAAGAAACAAUAUGGCUACUUAGAUGACUUCCCAUCCAAGUUUACAUUCGGCCCUCAUUACCAAAGGUGAUAAGUGUGUGCCUCUUCCUUGCAACCCAUCAGGGUCUAACACAUCAUAUCGCCACUUCUGAAAUUAGGAAAUAGGCUCAGAAGUCCAAGAGCUUGACCAGAGUAAUUCACUUGGUAGGUAGCAGAACCAGAAUUCAAAGAGCAAGUCGGCGUGAUUCUUCUCCAAUAUCCUGCCAGUUACAUGGGCAAGUGGCCUCAAAAUCAACAAAAGACAAGUAGAGGUUGACAUGUGUCAAUGGAAAGAGGCUCAAAAGGAAGAGUUUAUACACAAGAAUAGAACAGAAACGUUCUGGAAGUAUGUCUGGGGAUGUGAAGUAGGAAGGGGCACACCAGGUUUCACCUUGGUCAAGUGACUGUCUAAUUCCCCGGAGCUCCAGACUUAGCUAUCGGUCUUUCUCACUCUAAUAUAAAAUCCACAGGGCAGGACCUUAAUCUCUAGCUUGUUCACCAUAGAUUAAAGCAGAGUCUGGCUUAAUAGUAAGUGCUUAAUAAAUAUAUGAAUGAAUAAAUGAACGAAAAUUCCACGUUGUUGGGGGAAGGGGUUAUCAUGAACCAGACCCUAGCAGUCACUUACAAAUACAGUUGAUCCUCAUUAUUUGUGGAUCCUAUAUUUGCAAAUUUGCUUACUUGCUAAAAUGUGUUUGUAAUCUCCAAAUUAAUACUUGUGGAGCUUUCAAGGUGAUUCAUGGACAUACACACAGUAGUGAAAAAUCUGUCACUCCUUAUGCACGUUCCAAGCUAAGGUCAAAUAAGAUGACCCUGGGCCUUCUUGUUUCAGCUGUCAUACAAAGAUGACCCAAGGACAGAGGCAGCAGAGGGCAGUGCAGGGUAGUGCAAGAAGCUCUGGCUCUGGGACUAAUUGGACGAGGUCUGAAUCUUAACUCUGGCACCUGUUAGUGAAGCAGCCUCAAGCAAAUCACUUAAUGCUUCUGUACUUCCUUUAUUGUUUUGUAAAUAAAGAAAAUUCAAUCUACCAAG
Molecule: long non-coding RNA, 3506 nt
Filed under: Pan troglodytes (chimpanzee)
Lineage: Eukaryota; Metazoa; Chordata; Mammalia; Primates; Hominidae
Description: lincRNA
Source: RNAcentral